GCGAGCGAACCGGGAAGAGCUCAAAUUUAAAAUCUGGCGUCCUUCGGGCGUCCGAGUUGUAAUCUACAGAAGUGUUUUCCGUGCUGGACCGUGUCCAAGUCCCUUGGAACAGGGUAUCAAAGAGGGUGACAAUCCCGUACUUGACACGACGACCAGUGCUCUGUGAUACAUUUUCUACGAGUCGAGUUGUUUGGGAAUGCAGCUCAAAAUGGGUGGUAAAUUCCAUCUAAAGCUAAAUAUAGGCGAGAGACCGAUAGCGAACAAGUACCGUGAGGGAAAGAUGAAAAGCACUUUGGAAAGAGAGUUAAACAGUACGUGAAAUUGUUGAAAGGGAAACGAUUGAAGUCAGUCGUGUCUGUUGGUUUCAGCUGUCUCUGGCAGUGUAUUACCAGCAGACGGGUCAACAUCAGUUUUGGACGGUGGAAAAAGGUAGGGAGAACGUAGCACCUCCGGGUGUGUUAUAGCUCCCUAUUGCAUACACUGUCCGAGACUGAGGAAUGCAGCUCGCCUUUAUGGCCGGGGUUCGCCC
Molecule: ribosomal RNA, 529 nt
Filed under: Cryptococcus sp. LCF-06
Lineage: Eukaryota; Fungi; Basidiomycota; Tremellomycetes; Tremellales; Cryptococcaceae
Description: eukaryotic LSU rRNA
Rfam family: Eukaryotic large subunit ribosomal RNA
Source: RNAcentral